GAUUACGACCAUACCGCGUUGAAAGCACGCCAUCCCGUCCGAUCUGGCAAGUUAAGCAACGCUGGGCUUCCUUAGUACUUGGAACGGAGACGUCCUGGGACGUCUCCGUUGAGGCAAUUUUUAAUCGGAUCGUCACAGACUCAU
Non-coding RNA from Meloidogyne enterolobii, 144 nucleotides. The record is from the annotation of a GenBank genome assembly. NCBI's taxonomy places the organism in Eukaryota, Metazoa, Nematoda, Chromadorea, Rhabditida, Meloidogynidae.